AAAAGAUCUAUCUUUAGAGAUCAUAGGGUUUGGAGUAUGGUUUAUUUGGUAGCUGGCAGUAUUCGUUAAUGUCUUCUACCGCAUCAAGGAGUCAUUAUGGUAGGAAAUAGAAUAUUAGGAGAGAGGAAAAGAUGGCGGAGGAGUAGGGGGUCACGCUCACCCUCUCCCACAAACACAACAAAAAAAGCACAUCUACAGAAUAAAUGACUCGCACAGAACAGUAACCAAUCGCUGGCAGAGGAACCUAAACUCCAAUAACGGCAAGAAGUUCGUGACAUUAUUGGGCGGAACGGGAGAAAAGAGGAGAGUGAGAGAAGGUGAAUCCGAGCGGGACGGGCGCUCCCGAAAGGGAACUGCGGAGGAGAAAGGGAUCCCGCACCCUGGAAAGUCACCUACCGGGCGAAAGAUCAAACGAACCGGAGGAAUCCCCAGAUGCAGAGAAGAGUGUAGCAGUAAGUCGGAGUACGGGAAAACCGAUCAAGAACCCAACGGACCAUCUGAACUACGGGCACAGUCACCAAAAAUUGAGACGCCUGGGUGGGGGCUGGGCACCGAAUCCUCGGCUCCAGAGGUUAGUCCCCGGGAAAGGGCCGGGGGACGCCUGGGUGGGGGCUGGGCACCGAGACCUCGCCGCCGAAGGUUAAUUCCUGAGAAAGGGCCGGGGGACGCCUGGGAGGGGGGCUGGGCACCGAGACCUCGCCGCAGAAGGUUAGUCCCCGAGAAAGGGCCGGGGGGCGCCGCCUGGGUGGGGGCUGGGCACCGAGACCUCGGCUCCAGAGAUUAGUCCCCGGGCUAGGGGGGCGGGGCAGAGCGGAAACUGCUUGGGAGGUCUAGAAACCAGUUGACGGGGCAGAGACUGCCUGGGAGACUAGAAAACAAAGCUGUCGCAGAGGAAGGGAGCAAUACUCCAGGAGUGGGGAAGGGGAAAGCCACAUCAGAGGGAACCUGGGAGAAGAGCCUGGUCUGCGCCCGUGCUGGGGAGGGGAGAGAAGAAGGGGUGGGUCCCCAUAGAAUACCCCCCACGCCACAGCAAGCUUACAGGCCCGCUAGCUAGCUGAAAACUGUGCUUCCCAGUGCAUCCCCUCCCCCCACCCCCGCCACGCCCUACGCUCUCACGGACCUGGGGCUGCCUGCCAUCCAGGAGGGCUGGCCUCAACAAUUGCCUGAAGCCUACCACCGCAGGGGCUGUCCCUGCACAGGCCUGCUUGCCCUUUGGAGGGGCUACACUUCCGCAGAGCAGCACCAAACACCACCAGCCCCCGAGAAAAGGCCUGCAGCCCAGAAAAGCUAGAACAAGCUUAGCCAGGCUGUGAAUAGAUCGGCCUAAUUCUCGGACGGUUUUUCUGAGUCGGGUUGCCCCGGGGAGGAGCCUCUUGGGUUUCCAACGGCCCUGCUACCCGCCCAAGCCCCCAGGGGAUGCUCUAGUGGACCAGCUGCAUAGGACUGCCAGCUCCAGGCAGGACCCCCUGCAGCCCAGAAAAGCUGCAACAAGCCUGGCCGAGUCAGACGGUUUUUCUGAGUUGGGCUGCCCUGGGGAGGAGCCUCUUGGGUCUCCAACGGCUCUGCUACCCACCCAAGCCCCCAGAGGGUACCCCACUCACGUGAAAUAACUGCUCAGCACCACCAGCCCCCUAGAAGAGCCCCUGCAGCCCAGGAAAGCUGCAACAAGCUCGGCCAGACUGUGAAAAGAUCCGCCUACAUUCUCAGGCUGUCCUUCUGAGUUGGGCUGCGCUAGGGAAGAGCCUCUUCGGUUCUCAGUGACCCAGAUAGCUACUCCAGCCCCC
RNAcentral lists this long non-coding RNA (1784 nucleotides) under Sus scrofa (pig). Its description in RNAcentral is "lncRNA (ENSSSCG00065066044.1)". Lineage: Eukaryota; Metazoa; Chordata; Mammalia; Artiodactyla; Suidae. The record is from RNAcentral.